UGGGGAAUAUUGGACAAUGGACCAAGAGUCUGAUCCAGCAAUUCUGUGUGCACGAUGAAGUUUUUCGGAAUGUAAAGUGCUUUCAGUUGGGAAGAAAGAAAUGACGGUACCAACAGAAGAAGUGACGGCUAAAUACGUGCCAGCAGCCGCGGUAAUACGUAUGUCACAAGCGUUAUCCGGAUUUAUUGGGCGUAAAGCGCGUCUAGGUGGUUAUGUAAGUCUGAUGUGAAAAUGCAGGGCUCAACUCUGUAUUGCGUUGGAAACUGUAUAACUAGAGUACUGGAGAGGUAAGCGGAACUACAAGUGUAGAGGUGAAAUUCGUAGAUAUUUGUAGGAAUGCCGAUGGGGAAGCCAGCUUACUGGACAGAUACUGACGCUGAAGCGCGAAAGCGUGGGUAGCAAACAGGAUUAGAUACCCUGGUAGUCCAUGCCGUAACGAUGAUUACUAGGUGUUGGGGGUCGAACCUCAGCGCCCAAGCAAACGCGAUAAGUAAUCCGCCUGGGGAGUACGUACGCAAGUAUG
RNAcentral lists this ribosomal RNA (523 nucleotides) under uncultured bacterium. RNAcentral's name for it is "bacterial SSU rRNA". It matches the Rfam family "Bacterial small subunit ribosomal RNA", at positions 355 to 896 of the family's 1533-position model. The record is from RNAcentral.